This 482-nucleotide ribosomal RNA is filed under the name uncultured bacterium. Its description in RNAcentral is "partial 16S ribosomal RNA". It matches the Rfam family "Bacterial small subunit ribosomal RNA", at positions 28 to 507 of the family's 1533-position model. The record is from RNAcentral.
GACGAACGCUGGCGGCGUGCUUAACACAUGCAAGUCGAACGAUGAAGAAGAGACACGCGCACUUCGGUUCAAAUUUCACUUCGGAUUAGUGGCAGACGGGUGAGUAACGCGUGAGCAACCUACCUCUUACAAAGGGAUAGCCUCGGGAAACCGUGAUUAAUACCAUAUGACACAUUCAUAAGGCAUCUUAAGAAUGUUAAAGCUACGGCGGUAAGAGAUGGGCUCGCGUCCCAUUCGCUAGUUGGUGAGGUAACGGCCCACCAAGGCGACGAUGGGUAACCGGCCUGAGAGGGUGAACGGUCACAUUGGAACUGAGACACGGUCCAAACUCCUACGGGAGGCAGCAGUGGGGAAUAUUGCACAAUGGAGGGAACUCUGAUGCAGCGACGCCGCGUGAGCGAUGAAGGAAUUCGUUUCGUAAAGCUCUGUUCUAUGGGAAGAAAAGGACUGUACCAUAGGAGAAAGCCCCGGCUAAAUACGUG